Molecule: long non-coding RNA, 459 nt
Organism: Uranotaenia lowii
Lineage: Eukaryota; Metazoa; Arthropoda; Insecta; Diptera; Culicidae
Exons: 3
Source: RefSeq, a predicted model, not a curated record
CGUUGCGUGUACCAGUCAUCAUCGUCCGGCUCUGUUUACAACUGUAAAAUUGAAAGUAAACAAACCGAAGAAGUGUGCAAAGAGAAAAAGGAAAACUGCUACAUCAUUGCCGUCGUGUUUGUUGCCGUUGCCUCGAGUGUGCUGCUGUUUCCUGGGCUGGAAAAUUGAACCGUGUUUCCCAGGGCGGGACAAAAAGCCAUCGGUAACCGUUCUGUACGAAGUGCCGUUGUAGUUCAUCCGGAAAACCCGUCGGAAGAAGCAGCACUAAGCCCGGAGGAAGCAAGUGAGCAACAUCCGUCGAUUAGAUCUGCCGAACGUUUUUGGAUCGGAGAGCCGACAUCCAGUGGAAAACGGUUUGUUGCCUCAAGCCAAACCGUUCAGAUAGCCACAGUGCAAAUAGUGGUUGGGAGGUGAUACAAAGCAGCCGGAUGAGCAUAAUGUCAAGCGCGCUCAGACCCC